CGAGUUAGGGUCCUCAUCGGGCCCGACCUCCCAACCCAUUGUUUAUGAUACCUAGUGUUGCCUUCGGUAGGCCUGGUCUAUCUGUUAUAGACCUGCCGGGGGGCCGUAAGACGCCCGCCGGAGAGUGCCUACCGACAGCCUCAACUCCAAAAUUCUUUAACCAAACGUGUCUUUGUCUGAGUAACGUCUUUUAAAAUAAAGCAAAACUUUCAACAACGGAUCUCUUGGUUCUGGCAUCGA
Molecule: unclassified non-coding RNA, 240 nt
Filed under: Exophiala oligosperma
Lineage: Eukaryota; Fungi; Ascomycota; Eurotiomycetes; Chaetothyriales; Herpotrichiellaceae
Description: sequence contains ITS1
Source: RNAcentral